UCUCCGUAGGUGAACCUGCGGAGGGAUCAUUACAGAGUUCAUACCCUACCGGGUAGAUCUCCCACCCUAUGUUAUUAUUACUUUGUUGCUUUGGUGGGCCGUUAGGCUCCGGCCCGACUACCGGCCCCGGCUGGUAAGCGCCCGCCAGAGGACCCAAAACCCUGAAUAUUAGUGUCGUCUGAGUACUAUAUAAUAGUUAAAACUUUCAACAACGGAUCUCUUGGUUCUG
RNAcentral lists this unclassified non-coding RNA (229 nucleotides) under plant metagenome. RNAcentral describes it as "partial contains small subunit ribosomal RNA, internal transcribed spacer 1, and 5.8S ribosomal RNA". The record is from RNAcentral.